AGCGAACGCUGGCGGCAGGCCUAACACAUGCAAGUCGAACGAACCUUUCGGGGUUAGUGGCGGACGGGUGAGUAACACGUGGGAACGUGCCUUUAGGUUCGGAAUAACUCAGUGAAACUUGUGCUAAUACCGAAUGUGCCCUUCGGGGGAAAGAUUUAUCGCCUUUAGAGCGGCCCGCGUCUGAUUAGCUAGUUGGUUGAGGUAAUGGCUCACCAAGGCGACGAUCAGUAGCUGGUCUGAGAGGAUGAUCAGCCACAUUGGGACUGAGACACGGCCCAAACUCCUACGGGAGGCAGCAGUGGGGAAUCUUGCGCAAUGGGCGAAAGCCUGACGCAGCCAUGCCGGGUGAAUGAUGAAGGUCUUAGGAUUGUAAAAUUCUUUCACCGGGGACGAUAAUGACGGUACCCGGAGAAGAAGCCCCGGCUAACUUCGUG
This 434-nucleotide ribosomal RNA is filed under the name uncultured bacterium. Its description in RNAcentral is "partial 16S ribosomal RNA". It matches the Rfam family "Bacterial small subunit ribosomal RNA", at positions 29 to 507 of the family's 1533-position model. The record is from RNAcentral.